Molecule: long non-coding RNA, 485 nt
Organism: Silurus meridionalis
Lineage: Eukaryota; Metazoa; Chordata; Actinopteri; Siluriformes; Siluridae
Exons: 3
Source: RefSeq, a predicted model, not a curated record
CAGAGAGAAGCAGCUGAGUGUAUAUAGUACGUAACCAUGAGCUGAAUAAACCUGAAAAGUCCUGUUAAACUGUUGCUGUAAAAGGGCUUUGGAAACAGUAAUUGGGUAGCAGGUGUGACUCAUCAUUAUGAUGGUAAUUGUGAACAAGUGUGUGUUGGGAGUUGGAGUCUGGGGCAGCCAAGUUUGAAGGCUGCAGUGUCUGAUAUUUAUUUUUAGUAACAAGGAUUAGCAAUGGCUUACAUCUGACAGUUUGAUGGCAAGAUUAUGAACUCGAGCUGCAACAACAGUUUGGGAACCAUGCUCUGGAUCAGGUGUGUAAACUGUACAACAGAAAGGCGCGACGUCACUGGCGGGGAUACAACACAACCAGGAAGCUAUAAAAGCACAUGCGGUGGAGACGACGCUAGCUUCUGUUUGUUCAGGAAGCGCUCUGUGUGUGUCUGUGUCAAAGUAAAAAUUAUAUAAUAUAUAAUUAUAUAUAAGUA